AACGAACGCUGGCGGCAGGCCUAACACAUGCAAGUCGAGCGGGGACUUCGGUUCUAGCGGCGGACGGGUGAGUAACGCGUGGGAAUGUGCCCUUCUCUACGGAAUAGCCCUGGGAAACUGGGAGUAAUACCGUAUACGCCCUAUUGGGGAAAGAUUUAUCGGAGAAGGAUCAGCCCGCGUUGGAUUAGGUUGUUGGUGGGGUAAUGGCCUACCAAGCCGACGAUCCAUAGCUGGUAUGGGAGGAUGAUCAGCCACACUGGGACUGAGACACGGCCCAGACUCCUAGGGGAGGCAGGAGUGGGGAAUCUUAGACAAUGGGGGCAACCCUGAUCUCGCCAUGCCGCGUGAGUGAUGAAGGCCUUAGGGUUGUAAAGCUCUUUCAGCUGGGAAGAUAAUGACGGUACCAGAAGAAGAAGCCCCGGCUAACUCCGUG
RNAcentral lists this ribosomal RNA (433 nucleotides) under uncultured bacterium. RNAcentral's name for it is "partial 16S ribosomal RNA". It matches the Rfam family "Bacterial small subunit ribosomal RNA", at positions 29 to 507 of the family's 1533-position model. The record is from RNAcentral.